UGGGGAAUAUUGCACAAUGGGCGCAAGCCUGAUGCAGCAACGCCGCGUGAGGGACGACGGCCUUCGGGUUGUAAACCUCUUUUGGCAGGGAAGAAGCGAAAGUGACGGUACCUGCAGAAAAAGCACCGGCUAACUACGUGCCAGCAGCCGCGGUGAUACGUAGGGUGCAAGCGUUGUCCGGAAUUAUUGGGCGUAAAGAGCUCGUAGGCGGUUUGUCGCGUCUGCUGUGAAAACCCGAGGCUCAACCUCGGGCCUGCAGUGGGUACGGGCAAACUAGAGUGCGGUAGGGGAGAUUGGAAUUCCUGGUGUAGCGGUGGAAUGCGCAGAUAUCAGGAGGAACACCGAUGGCGAGGGCAGAUCUCUGGGCCGUAACUGACGCUGAGGAGCGAAAGCAUGGGGAGCGAACA
This 407-nucleotide ribosomal RNA is filed under the name uncultured bacterium. Its description in RNAcentral is "bacterial SSU rRNA". It matches the Rfam family "Bacterial small subunit ribosomal RNA", at positions 355 to 774 of the family's 1533-position model. The record is from RNAcentral.